Momordica charantia (bitter melon) is the source of this 502-nucleotide non-coding RNA. The record is from RefSeq and is a predicted model, not a curated record. Lineage: Eukaryota; Viridiplantae; Streptophyta; Magnoliopsida; Cucurbitales; Cucurbitaceae.
UCCUGGCAUGCCGCCUCCGCCCAACCCACAGAAUCAGCAGCAAAAUCAACAGCAAUAGUGUGGACAUAUUACGUGUGAUGCUCUGUGAUGGCCUUCAGUGGAUAUUAUCUUGUGUUUGCUUCAACCCGAGUCUCACUUGCCAGGGGCUAAAGCUUGGCUCAUCUCCCUGGGUGGAAUCUCUCUUCAAAUUUGUGUUGAUGCUGUUGUAGGAUUCGAGAAUGUACUGUUAUUAGCAAAUUGUGGUCCUCAUUUUGCAAUUUAACCAUUAGAUAUACUUCGAGAGCAGGAUUUUAAUGUGAAUUGCCAAUUCCUGAUCGCCAUGUCUUUAGGUAGAUUCACUUGCCCCCUUCACUUUUUAAUCUGUGUUAGGCAUUAUAUAGGUCUUUCAAUUACUUACGGACCUAAAGUCUGAAUACUACGAACUGAAGGUUCUAUAUUUUGGGACCUCUCUUUUGUUAAAAGGAGAAUAUCUAUAUAUUUUUGUGCGUUCAUGCGAGUUGCA